RNAcentral lists this ribosomal RNA (484 nucleotides) under uncultured bacterium. Its description in RNAcentral is "partial 16S ribosomal RNA". It matches the Rfam family "Bacterial small subunit ribosomal RNA", at positions 28 to 523 of the family's 1533-position model. The record is from RNAcentral.
GACGAACGCUGGCGGCGUGCUUAACACAUGCAAGUCGAACGGUGAAGCAGGAGUUUGCUCUUGUGGAUCAGUGGCGAACGGGUGAGUAACACGUGAGCAACCUGCCCCUGACUCUGGGAUAAGCGCUGGAAACGGCGUCUAAUACUGGAUAUGUGAUGUGACCGCAUGGUCUGCAUCUGGAAAGAAUUUCGGUUGGGGAUGGGCUCGCGGCCUAUCAGCUUGUUGGUGAGGUAAUGGCUCACCAAGGCGUCGACGGGUAGCCGGCCUGAGAGGGUGACCGGCCACACUGGGACUGAGACACGGCCCAGACUCCUACGGGAGGCAGCAGUGGGGAAUAUUGCACAAUGGGCGGAAGCCUGAUGCAGCAACGCCGCGUGAGGGAUGACGGCCUUCGGGUUGUAAACCUCUUUUAGCAGGGAAGAAGCGAAAGUGACGGUACCUGCAGAAAAAGCACCGGCUAACUACGUGCCAGCCGCCGCUGUAA